UGCGGAGUAGAGUAGCGGUAGCUCGUUGGGCCCAUUCCCCAAAGGUCGCAGGUUCGAGUCCUGCCUCCGCCACCA
This 75-nucleotide transfer RNA is filed under the name Bacteroidales bacterium. RNAcentral's name for it is "tRNA-Met". It matches the Rfam family "tRNA". Rfam says of the family: Transfer RNA (tRNA) molecules are approximately 80 nucleotides in length. Lineage: Bacteria; Pseudomonadati; Bacteroidota; Bacteroidia; Bacteroidales. The record is from RNAcentral.